ACUCCUGCGGGAGGCAGCAGUGGGGAAUAUUGCACAAUGGGCGCAAGCCUGAUGCAGCCAUGCCGCGUGUAUGAAGAAGGCCUUCGGGUUGUAAAGUACUUUCAGCGGGGAGGAAGGCGAUAAGGUUAAUAACCUUGUUGAUUGACGUUACCCGCAGAAGAAGCACCGGCUAACUCCGUGCCAGCAGCCGCGGUAAUACGGAGGGUGCAAGCGUUAAUCGGAAUUACUGGGCGUAAAGCGCACGCAGGCGGUCUGUCAAGUCGGAUGUGAAAUCCCCGGGCUCAACCUGGGAACUGCAUUCGAAACUGGCAGGCUAGAGUCUUGUAGAGGGGGGUAGAAUUCCAGGUGUAGCGGUGAAAUGCGUAGAGAUCUGGAGGAAUACCGGUGGCGAAGGCGGCCCCCUGGACAAAGACUGACGCUCAGGUGCGAAAGCGUGGGGAGCAAACAGGAUUAGAAACCCCGGUAGUCCCA
This 471-nucleotide ribosomal RNA is filed under the name uncultured organism. Its description in RNAcentral is "partial 16S ribosomal RNA". It matches the Rfam family "Bacterial small subunit ribosomal RNA", at positions 335 to 797 of the family's 1533-position model. The record is from RNAcentral.